GAUGAACGCUGGCGGCGUGCCUAAUACAUGCAAGUCGAGCGAACAGACGAGGAGCUUGCUCCUCUGACGUUAGCGGCGGACGGGUGAGUAACACGUGGAUAACCUACCUAUAAGACUGGGAUAACUUCGGGAAACCGGAGCUAAUACCGGAUAAUAUAUUGAACCGCAUGGUUCAAUAGUGUAAGACGGUUUUGCUGUCACUUAAAGAUGUUUCCGCGCCGCAUUAGCUAGUUGGUAAGGUAACGGCUUACCAAGGCAACGAUGCGUAGCCGACCUGAGAGGGUGAUCGGCCACACUGGAACUGAGACACGGUCCAGACUCCUACGGGAGGCAGCAGUAGGGAAUCUUCCGCAAUGGGCGAAAGCCUGACGGAGCAACGCCGCGUGAGUGAUGAAGGUCUUCGGAUCGUAAAGCUCUGUUAUUAGGGAAGAACAACUGUGUAAGUAACUAUGCACGUCUUGACGGUACCUAAUCAGAAAGCAACGGCUAACUACGUG
This 497-nucleotide ribosomal RNA is filed under the name uncultured bacterium. RNAcentral describes it as "partial 16S ribosomal RNA". It matches the Rfam family "Bacterial small subunit ribosomal RNA", at positions 28 to 507 of the family's 1533-position model. The record is from RNAcentral.